This 468-nucleotide ribosomal RNA is filed under the name uncultured bacterium. Its description in RNAcentral is "partial 16S ribosomal RNA". It matches the Rfam family "Bacterial small subunit ribosomal RNA", at positions 28 to 507 of the family's 1533-position model. The record is from RNAcentral.
GACGAACGCUGGCGGCGUGCUUAACACAUGCAAGUCGAACGGAAAGGCCCUGCUUGUGUGGGGUGCUCGAGUGGCGAACGGGUGAGUAACACGUGAGUAACCUGCCCUUGACUUUGGGAUAACUUCAGGAAACUGGGGCUAAUACCGGAUAGGAGCUCCUGCUGCAUGGGGGGGGUUGGAAAGUUUCGGCGGUUGGGGAUGGACUCGCGGCUUAUCAGCUUGUUGGUGGGGUAGUGGCUUACCAAGGCUUUGACGGGUAGCCGGCCUGAGAGGGUGACCGGCCACAUUGGGACUGAGAUACGGCACAGACUCCUACGGGAGGCAGCAGUGGGGAAUAUUGCACAAUGGGCGGAAGCCUGAUGCAGCAACGCCGCGUGCGGGAUGACGGCCUUCGGGUUGUAAACCGCUUUCGCCUGUGACGAAGCGUGGGUGACGGUAAUGGGUAAAGAAGCACCGGCUAACUACGUG